ACCACGCGGGUGGUUGGAACCAUAGGAUACAUGGCACCUGAGGUGGUUCGAAGUGGAAGAGCCUCAGCUCAAACCGACGUGUUCGGUUUUGGGGUCUUGAUUUUGGAGGUCAUGUGUGGAAGGAGGCCUAUAGAAGAAGGGCAGCCACCUUUGUUAGAAUCGGUUUGGCAGUUGAUGAUGCAAGGGCAGUCACUUUAUGCCUUGGAUGAGCGACUAAAGGCUAGAGGAGAACAAUUUGACGAAGGAGAAGUAGAGAGAAUGCUUCAUCUAGGCUUAUUGUGUGCAUAUCCUGACUCUAAAGUGCGGCCGACAAUGAGGCAAGUAGUGAAGGUCAUGGAGGGCAAUAAUGAGCUUAGUGAGAUUGAAAGUGAGGAUAUGGAUGCAUGUUUGCUACAACAGAUGAAGUCUAAGGAUUUUUGGUCGAGUUAUUCUCAAAGUUCUAGCCAUGGAUCGCACCCAACUUUUGAUGAAAUUAGACGACACCACUCAUCUUCUAUGUCUUUAUCUUGGAGCAAUACUAUAGUGGAGGGUAGGUGAAUCUGCAAUCAGUUGAUGAAUUACGCUAUCUGUUGGUUAUUUUUGCAAAUUUAAUGAACUAAAAUUUGCCAGAUUUUCCGUGGCAAGCUUGGAAGAAGCUGCAGAAGUUGGCAGGAUCAAGAUCCAAGAGCAUAAAAAAUGAAACAGUGGGGAGGGAGCCUUGAUUUUGAUUUGCAUUUUUUCUUUAUUAAUGUUUGAUAGAUUGGGACAAUAAUGUAGAGGAGAAUCCUUUCUUGUUUCUGUACAAGGAAUAACUAGCAUAUUGGUGUACAUAAAUACAGCAAAUCCACAGAUGUUUUUUUUCUUAAAUUUCUCUUCCUCUUUGCUAACUUGUCACCUUUGUCUUUGCACAUUCUUCAAGCUUAAGAAAUUUAAGUGGAGUUGUUGGUUUUAAAACCAAAAACCUCACUGACCAUCAUGACUAGAAGAAGUACUAUAUGCAUGCUCUAGUCAAUUCACCAUAUAUAUAUAUAUAGAAGAGAAUAAAGCACCAGUAUGAUCAUUACGCAUGUUUUUUUUGUCACAUUACACUAGGCUAGGAAUGACUAUUAUUAGGUGAGUAGGUGGUGGGCAGGGAGGAGUAUUGCUUUUUAGCGAGAUAGAAAGUUAAACUUUGUCGUAAUGGUACAAGAUUUCUGUCAAAAACACCUGCCUGCUAUUUUGCUUCUGUGUUUGACUAGGAAAUAGGCGUGCUAUUAGUUAUAAUUAAUAAUUUAAUCCACACGUUUAUACCAACAAGCACCAGUGGUCUAGUGGUAGAAUAGUACCCUGCCACGGUACAGACCCGGGUUCGCCACGUCGACAGGGCCUUUUUGGGUCUGUCAUAUCCCACAAUGUUUUUGACUUCAGACUUUUUUGUCCUUGUCCCUUCUUAAAUGGUUGUCCUUGUCCCUUCUUAAAUGGGCCUUUUUGUCUCUUCUUAAAUGGGCCUUUUUGUCUCUUCUUAAAUGGGCCUGAAGUGCACACUGUUAAGUGUUACCCAAUGCUCUAAAGCCCAUAUAAAACUCAUUAUUCCCAGUUUAAUGAUGGGCCGGUCUAUGAUCGGCCAAUAAAAAAACAUCAUUUCCAGGCCUUAAUUUUUUUAUUUUUUUUAAUCUGAAAAUACUCUGUUUAGAAUGAAAAAAAGAAAAAAAAUGUAGCAUUUGUCAAUAAAAAAAAAAAAAAAGAGGUUAGCUUUGGCCAGUUUAGUGUAUGCCAUACUCCUAUCUCUAGUCUCUAUGAAACUCGGAUUUGGUGUACUAGAGGAGUAAAAAAAGGAGCUUAAAAAAAGUAGCUAUUUUUAUUUUAUUUUAUAGCUUUAAAUGGACAGACAAAUGAAGAGCUAUAAUAAUUUUUCUAUUAAAGAAAAAUAAUUCCUACGUAUCUAAUCAAAAGAGCAAAAAUAUUAAAAUAGAUUAUUUAAAUAUUUUUUUUAUCUCCACAACUUUUCUCAUCACUUUUCUAAAAAAAGCUGAAAGUAUUAAUUUUAAAUAUAUUAAAAUAGAAAUGGGUUGUUAAAUCUCUUGUUGGACCUAUGAUUUUAUUUUAUUUAGUUUAAUGUAGAUGUUCGAGUCAGCUCGUGCACAUUUCAACUAAAUCCACGAGCCUUGAAGUAGUUUAGCUGGACCCAUGAUUUCCUCGUAUUAAAACGGGUUCGUUUGUUAGUAAGGGAAUUGUUAUUUUUACUUGAAAAAAAAAAAAAUUCCUUGUCCCGUCUGUGAAGAGAAAGUGUAACUCACAAAAGUAGCUUCCAGUGGUAUUCCAACCAAAAUAGAUGCUUUCCAAAAGCUGCUUCAUCUCUUUAGUUACAGUAGCUUGGUUGCUGAAGUAAUCCUGGGGGGCCCCUGUACAGGUAAGCAGUUAACAAUCAUUAUUUGCGAAGUAAGCAAAACAUAAAGUAUAGUUACAGACGCGAAUUGUUCAUAAAAUUCUAGAAGUUCAGGGGUUAAUUUAGAAACUAGAGUUUUAAUUUAAUCUUUUUCCAUAAGUCCACAGGUAGCAAAGGUUUUUUUUAUAUAUAAAAAUAAAUCUAAUUUGAAGGGAUUGAUGUCAAAUGAUCAAUCCACGCAUUUUCAUUUUUAGAGAUAAUGUAAAAUGAAUUAAAAAAAUCAGGAUAAUUAAUAACAAUAUAAUUUUUUAAAAAAAAUACAUAAUAAAUAUAUUCUUUUGUGAAAAAUAGAUGUUUUAAGAGAGACGUAGUUAUUUAUUUAAAUAUAACUAUUUUUUUAAUUAAAUCUGUGUAAUUAAUGUUUUAAGAAAUUACUUAAUUUUAGUAAAAAUAAUUAGUUCAAUAAUACCCUUAUCAUGACAAGAAGAUACUUUAACUUCUUGUUAUUACUUUAAAUCCAUUGUAUUAUAAGAAAAAUUAAAAGAGGUGUUUUCAAUAGUGUUUUCUCUUCCCCUUUUUUUUUUGUUCUAAGAGAAUUUUUUGCUUUGGUAUCAAAUUUUUGUUUAAUUUCAUCCCUAUAAGUUAUAUUAGCCUAGAUUGAGGCUGAUAAUUUGUUUCAGUUAGCUUGAUAUAUGGUUCUCGAGGUGUCAAAAAUAUAUUCCAAUAUUAAAUUAAUGUUAUAUUUACCAAGAAAAUAUUUUAUCUUACUGCUAAAAAAAUUAAAACUUUAGGAAUUGAAUGUGACUCUUAAACAAAAAUACAAUAUUUUUUAUUUUUUUCUUUACUGUUCAUGAGGCACAUUUUUUUUUAGUUUUGGUCCCUAAAAUUUUUUUAUUUAUGUGUUUUUGUGUUUUUUAUGUUUUAGCCCACAACUUCAUUUUGUUUCUAUUUCAGUUCCUAAACUUAAGAGAUAAGAGAAAGAGUUGUCAAAUAGAAAGGGAGAAGAGAAAGUAGUUAAUUGAUCAUAUUCCAACAAGAAAAAAAACCCAUUAUUGGUGUCAAUAAAUUUCAUUUGACAAUUGAGAUUCAAUUGAUGUGUUUUACCCUUCAUCUUGCUAGUGAAAAUAGAUUCAUCUUGCUAAUGAAAAUAGAUUGGAGAUUGAGUUUUCUUUUUAGAUCAUGAUGGAUUUUUAAAUUUCUGAGAGAUUAAAAGUUGUUUUAAAGUUAGAUAUGGGUUAAUUGAAAAUUUUCUAGUGUUUCUUAGGUAUUUUCUUAUGAAAAUAGAUUGAAAACAAGUUUUUUUUUUUAAUCUAAUUACUUGAUAUCCUGACAACUUUUCAACUAACUAAGGUGAUCAGAAUGCAACUAAUGAAUGAUGAAUUUCUGUCCAUUGUAAGAAAAAGAAAAAAAAAUAAAAGAAAGCCAGAUGCUCGAGUUUGGCCUUGUACACCUUGUCUUUUUUUAGUGAGACGGGUGUCCUGGCCCAGUUAGACCCAAUCCAGUAGUGAGACGGGUGUCCUGGCCCAGUUAGACCCAAUCCAGUUGUCUAAUCUCUUUUUAAGUCUUUAUAUAUAUAACCAAUUAAAAACAUUUUGGGAUAUUAUUUUAUUAAUUAAGAAUGUUAUAAUCUUAUUUUCGAAUAAGAUUAUCACAUUGUUUUUAUAAUAUUUUCAAGAUUGUUUUUUUGCAGACCUUUAUGAUUCCUUUUUUUAAAUUUUUUUUAUUUUGGUGGCUUUCCUGCAUGUAUUUUUUUUUAUUAUUAUAUAAUUAAAUAAAAAAUAGUUUUAAAAUAAUAAGCUAUUAAACCUAAUCGGGUCUAUGACCCGGGUCACCGGUUUGAUAAGUGAAUUUGGCUUGACCUUGAUCAAUUUAAAAUGUUGUAGUCUUAAUAUUAGAAAAAUAAAACGAUGGCAUUUAGAAGUUUUUUUAACUAAGUUAAAUCAAGUUUUGACCGGGUCGAUCGAGUUAGUUUUGGAUCUACGAACUCGAUCCGAUCAUGUUAGAUCAACUCUCACGUGACUUAAUUUGAAACCCGAGUUAGAAAAGGAGUUAGGUUGAGUGACUCUAAAUUGACCCCUAGGCCAAACGGGGUUUAAUGAUACUAUCAAAGAAUUCCCCACAACAACGCAUGAAUAAUAUAGUAUUCUUAUUUUUUUAAUACAAUCCCGUUAAAAAUAUAAUAAUAUUAAUUUUUUAAUAAAAACUUAUUUUUAUGGUUAUGAUAAGAUUUUGUUUAAAAAACAAAUAUUAUUAUAAAAACUUUCUAGAAAAUUUGGGCACAAUAAUAAGAUAAAUGUGUUUUAAUUAGACAAUUGCCUUUUUAUUUUUAUUUUAAAUCGUUUAAUUUUUUUAUGUAAGUUUUGAUUGCUUUUGAUUUUCAUUAAUGAAUGACACAGAACAACAAAAUAUGUUUUUUUUAAGAGAUAGAAAAUAUUAAUAAGAAAAUGAGGAAUUAUACUAGUAAUUUAUUUUGAUUAAACUUAAAUUAUUACUUUUUUUUAUAUAAAAACAACUUAUUCUCAUAUAAAUACAUAAAUAAAUUUUAAGAGUUUUGUGUGAAUUCGCUAUAUUAAUCUUCAACUGUCUUUUAGAUUCUUGAUUUGAUUUUUAGUUGGAAUUAACAACUCUUUUUAAUAUUUUAUUGACAUGAAUAAUUCUUAAUUAAUUUUAUCAAUUAUACACAUCAAAUUUUAUAUUCAUAAUUAUUUUUUUUGCUACUAGAAAACUUGUUGAUAACAUCUACCUUUUCUCUUAAAAAAAUUAAUUUGCGCCAACUGCUAGUUUAACUAAUUUAAACUCCUAAUAAUUCAAGUGUGGAUUAUUUUUUAAAAUUAUUUUCUAUUAUCAUAAAAAGAAUUCGUAUUGCUAUUUAGGUAAUGCAGUUUCAAAUAUUUUGGUGGAGUAAAAUUCUAACUACAACAUCACUUAUUGAAGAAUAAAUUCAAGAUACGUAAAAAAUUUAAAAGUUUGAUUUUAAUAAUAAAAUCUUAGAUUUUUUGAGGUUGCAGUAAUUACAUUGCGGUGGCAUUAAAAAAUAAUAAUAAUAAUAAAUAAUAAUAAUUGCAUCAGUGAUAUUGUUGAGGCUAAAUGAAUUGUGUUAUUUUUUAAAAUAAUUUUUUAGCUAUACCCUUAAUCUAUGCCUUUUUUAUGUUUCCCUCAAGAAAUUUGAUGAAAAUUGAAGAAAUCUCCCCCCUUCUAUAUAUUCUCCUAGUGCCGGCCAAGUAUGGUUUGUUUGAGUGCUUGAAAAGUGUGUUAACGGUUGAUUUUUAAAUAAUUUUUCGUGCUGAAAUACAUGUCAAUGAUUUUUUUUUAUUUUUUAAAAAUUAUUUUUGAUAUCAGCACAUCAAAACGAUUCAAAACAUAUAAAUCAUAUUAAAUUUUAAUAAAAAAAAUUUAAAUUUUUUGGGAACGCGAUUUGGACCGCAUUCCCAAACGCAUUCUUAAAAAACCACAGUACUAUUUAUAAUUCCUCUAAUCCUCAUUAAUUACAACAAUGCUAUCAUUUCUUAUUACAAACACAAACACAAACACAUGCUCUAGUAUAUUGAUCAAUGUUUUCCAACGAGUUAAUAUUAUAUUUAUUUUUAAAUAUAAAAACAAUAUUAAAAAUAUUUAAAUUUUUGAUGAUAAUAUUGAAUCUAAGGUUCUUGGAUUUAACACCCACACUCCACAACGGGUUAAUUUCAUUUUUUUUAAAUAUAAAAAGAAAUAUAUUAAGAGUUUCUGUUCAUCAAUACCCUUGAAUUUCUCUUAAAAUAUAUCAAGUUGCCAUUGUAUCUGGACCCCAGUUCUUUUCUGCUACCUUACUCCUAGCUGUAUGAUCGUUUUGAGGUUGAUCGUGACUAUAAUUAAUACGAGAAGAAGAAGAAGAAGAAGAAACUAGAAAAGUCUGAACUUGCCUCAAAAAUCUUCAAAAUGAAGUUUCUCUAGUUUUUUUUUUUUUUUUUUUUUUUUUAUAUGAGAUCUGUAUGAACUUCAUGACCAGUUUUGGUUAUUAAAUUAAUAUACAUAUAUAUAUAUAUAUAUAUAUAUAUAUAUAUAUAUAUAUAUAUAUAUAUAAAAUCACCCUUAAUGUUAAAUGAAUAUUUAUAAUUAGACAAUAGUUAUAUGAGUUUAAUUUUAUGAUUGUUUUAAGUUCAAAUAUAAGAACAACUUUUCUUUUUUUAAAAAAAACAAUAAAUUAGAAACAUGAAUAUUGCCAACGUAUUUAAUUAUCAAAUCAUGUAACGUGUAACAUGCCUACAUGAGUUAAUAAAAUAAAAUAAAUAAAAUAUUUUUUUUGAAAAAACAAAUAAUAUUAUUUUUAAAAAAUCAAUAAGUUAGGAUAAAGUUUUAACUAGCUUAAUUAAAUUAAUCUGAAUUUUUUAUUAUAUUAAUUAUUUGUUUUUUAAUUUUUUCUUUAAUUUAGAUACGUUUAGAUUCUAAAUCAACUUGCUGGCUAAUCCGAAAUUUAUAUCUAAGGAAAUAAGUUUGAACCUACCAAGUUUUUUCUUCGAUGAUAAUCGACCUUGAUAUUGUAAUAAACACAAAAUUCUAAUUGCGCAAGGUUCAUGGACAAAUUCACAACCAUUAUAAUCCUGCUGCUAAACGUUUGACUUGGCAAGUUGAAAGAGACUCCUAUCCUUUCUGUACAACCUUAACCUCCUGUUUCAGACAACCUUAUCUGUCUGACGUUAUAAUCUACCAUGAAAAACACCUUCCUUUCUCUUUCUCUCCCUGCUUCUUGGAUUGAAAUGAAGAAAUUCAACAACAAGCUUGAUCUUGUCUUGCUUCUACUUCCUAUAAUCCUGUUUUUGCAACCCAUAUCGGCUAUUGACUUUGUCUUCAAUGGAUUCAAUUCCUCUAGUGUUUCACUCUAUGGCUCUGCCAUCAUUGAAUCUCGCAUUCUUACACUUACAAAUCAAACAUCUUUCCAAAUUGGCCGUGCUUUGUACCCAACAAAGAUACCAACCAAAGCUCCAAAUUCUUCAUUUGUGUAUCCAUUUUCCACUUCUUUUAUUUUUGCUAUGGUCCCUUACAAGAAUGUUCUUCCUGGGCAUGGCCUGGCUUUUCUUUUUGUGCCCUUUACAAGCAUUCAAAGCUCUAUUUCAGCUCAAUAUUUAGGCUUUCUGAAUCGUACGAACGGUAACCGUUCAGAUGAUCAUCUGCUUGGCAUCGAGUUUGAUGUGUUCGCAAAUGAAGAAUUCAGUGAUAUGAAUGACAAUCAUGUUGGAAUAGAUGUAAAUACACUUACAUCAAUUAAAGCAGCAGAUGCAGGCUAUUGGCCUGAUAAUUCAAGGAGCAGCAGCAAUGAGAACACCAGUGAUGAGGAUAGUAAUUCUUUCAAGGAACAGGAUCUAAAUAAUGGUAAAAACUACCAAGUUUGGAUUGACUAUGAAGAUUCUAUAAUUAAUGUUACUAUGGCUCCGGCCGGCAUGAAAAGGCCUACCAGGCCUUUAUUGAAUGUGUCUCUUAAUCUAUCUGAUGUUUUUGAGGAUGAGAUGUAUGUGGGAUUCACUUCUUCAACCGGACUACUUGUUGAAAAUCACAAGAUUUUGGCAUGGAGCUUUAGCAAUUCCAAUUUUUCGUUGAGUGAGAGGUUAAUCACUACUGGGUUGCCAUCGUUCGUUCUUCCAAAAGAUCCAUUUUAUCGGUCUAAAGUGUUCAUUGCAGGAGCCACAGUGGGAGGGGUCCUUCUUGUUGUUUCUGCUGCUACAAUUAUAUGGUUUUUGAUUAAGAGAAGACAAAGGAAAGCAAGGGAGAGAGAGGAAAUGGAGGAUUGGGAAUUGGAGUACUGGCCACAUCAAGUUAGGUAUCAAGAAAUCGAGGCAGCAACAAAAGGAUUCAGUGAAGAAAAUGUUAUUGGAAUCGGAGGAAAUGGAAAGGUCUAUAAGGGUGUUUUACCAGGAGGGACAGAGAUUGCAGUGAAGCGCAUUUCACAUGAAAAUGAUGGGAUGAGGGAGUUUUUAGCUGAAAUUUCAAGUCUUGGAAGGUUGAAGCAUAGGAGUUUGGUGGGGCUGAGAGGUUGGUGCAAGAGAGAAAGAGGAGUCUUCAUGUUGGUAUAUGACUACAUGGAAAAUGGGAGUUUGGAGAAGAGGGUGUUCGAUUGUGAUGAGAGUAAAAUGUUGAGCUGUGAAGAGAGAAUAAGAAUUUUGAAAGAUGUGGCUUCUGCAUUAUUGUAUCUGCACGAGGGAUGGGAUUCUCAAGUCCUACACAGAGACAUUAAGGCCAGCAACGUGUUACUUGACAAGGAUAUGAAUGGAAGGUUAGGUGAUUUUGGAUUGGCUCGAGUGCACGGGCAUGGUCAAGUGCCUAGCACCACGCGGGUGGUUGGAACCAUAGGAUACAUGGCACCUGAGGUGGUUCGAAGUGGAAGAGCCUCAGCUCGAACCGAUGUGUUUGGUUUUGGGGUCUUGAUUUUGGAGGUCAUGUGUGGAAGGAGGCCUAUAGAAGAAGGGCAGCCACCUUUGUUAGAAUCGGUUUGGCAGUUGAUGAUGCAAGGGCAGUCACUUUAUGCCUUGGAUGAGCGACUAAAGGCUAGAGGAGAACAAUUUGACGAAGGAGAAGUAGAGAGAAUGCUUCAUCUAGGCUUAUUGUGUGCAUAUCCUGACUCU
This 8937-nucleotide long non-coding RNA is filed under the name Populus trichocarpa (black cottonwood). RNAcentral describes it as "long non-coding RNA (PTRI_LNC002691)". The record is from RNAcentral. Lineage: Eukaryota; Viridiplantae; Streptophyta; Magnoliopsida; Malpighiales; Salicaceae.